This 4086-nucleotide long non-coding RNA is filed under the name Homo sapiens (human). RNAcentral's name for it is "HSALNT0229173". Lineage: Eukaryota; Metazoa; Chordata; Mammalia; Primates; Hominidae. The record is from RNAcentral.
CAAACUGUUGGGAUUAAAGGCAUGAGCCACUGAAACCAGCUCCCAUUUAUAUGUUCAGCAAAUACUUUCUGAGCAUCUUUUCUUUGCAAAGCAUUACUGCGCGUUGAGAAUACAGCAGGGACCAAGAUGGACAUGCUCACUGCCCUCACAGAGAUUAGUUAAGUGAGGGCCACAGAGAAGAAAACAAGCAAUUCUAACAUAGGCAGGAUCCAUGCAGUGACUGAGAAAGCCAUAAGGAUCUGGGAAAAGGGGAGGGACAGGCUCCUGAUGUGGAAGAAGAGGUGGGAGAAGUUAGUGGGUGAAGACAAGCUGAGGUGAGUAAGGUGCAGGGAGCGAGGGGGAAGGGUUUCCCAGCUCAGGCUCACCCUAAGCAGAACAAGCAUAACACAUCAAAUGUCCAGCUCCCAGUUCCAUCCAGCUGGACGUAGAACUUAUCGUCAACAGAUGAAACUAGACAGUCAAGCAGCAGCCCAGAUAAGACAGCAGUCAGAUAAGACAGCAGUCAGAUAAGACGGGUCUUUUACACUUUACCAAGUGGCUCGAACUUUACCCUCAGGUCAUUGAGAAACAACAGGGAAGGGAGACUUUAUUUAUUUUUUUAACUUACUUUAUUUUUUAAUGUUUUGUUUUAAUUUGUGUAGGUACAUAAUAGGUGUACAUGUUUAUGGGUACAUGAGGUAUUUGAAUAUAGGUAUGCAAUGCAUAAAAAUCACAUCAUGGAAAAUGGGGCAUUCAUCUCCUCGAACGUUUAUCCUUUGUGUUACAAACAACCCAAUUAAUCUCUUUUACUUAUUUUCAAAUGUAUAAUUCUAUUAUUGUUGACUAUAGUCACCCUGUUGUGCUAUCAAAUACUAGGUCUUAUUCAUCCUUUCUAACUAUGUUUUUUGUAUCUAUUAACCAUCCCCACCUCUCACACACCCUCCCACUAUGGGAAGGAGGGUUAUUUAUUUAUUUAUUUUUGAGACAGAGGCUUGCUCUGUCACCCAGGCUGGAGUGCAGUGGCAUGAUCUCAGCUCACUGCAAACUCCACCUCCUGGGUUCAAGCAAUUCUCCUGUCUCAGCCUCCUAAGUAGCUGGGAUUAGAGGUGCCCACCACCACGCCUGGCUAAUUUUUAUAUUUUUAGUAGAGAUGGGGUUUCACCAUAUUGGCCAGGCUGGUCUUGAACUCCUGACCUCAAGUGACCCUCCUGCCUGGGCCUCCCAAAGUGCUGGGAUUACAAGCAUGAGUCACUGUGCCCAGCCAGGAAGGAGGAUUUUAAAUAGGCAUGUGACACAGCCCAGUUUGUAGUUUAGAAGGAUCCUCGUGGCUUUGGUGUGACAAGCAGAUGAGAGCUGGGCAAGACUAGAGAUUGAGAGCCAGGUGAGGAGAGUCUACUUAGCCAGGCAGGAGGCCCUGCCCUGGGAAGCUGCAUGAUGCUGGGGCCAUGGAGAAGCAGGAAGCCUAGAACCUACAGCAUCGUUGUUUUAAAUGGGGCAAUGCAGAGAUCCACAAGAGAUGCUGCAAAAGGCCUCCCUGGAGGGACAGAUAGGUUAGGAAUUAGGAGGGUGGAGGGUGAGAGUGUGAUAUGGUUUGCCUGUGUCCCCACUCAAAUAUCUGUUAUUUGAACUGUAGCUUGUUACUUGAAUUGUAGCUCCCACAAUUCCCACGUGUCAUGGGAGGGACCCAGUGGGAGGUAACUGAGUCAUGGGGGUGGGUCUUUCCUGUGCUAUUCUCAUGAUAGUGAAUAAGUCUCAUGAAAUCUGAUGGUUUUAUAAAGGGCAGUUCCCCUGCGCACACUCUCUUGCCUGUCGCCAUGUAAGACAUGUCUUUGCUCCUCCUUCGCCUUCCACCAUGAUUGUGAGGCUUCCCCAGGCAUGUGGAACUGUGAGUUCAUUAAACCUCUUUCCUUUAUAAAUUACCCCUGUGUCUUUAUCAGCAGUGUGAGAACAGACUAAUACAGGAUGGGACUUGGUGCUAAGCAGGACAGCACUAUUAGCUCCCUGGCAUGCCUGUAACCUGAAGGGCUUGACUUUCAUCUAUCUUACGUAAAAUUUGGUUGGAAUAAAAGAUUCAACUACUAAAAAUGCUGUAGGACAGAAUGAAUAAAAGGCUACAUUGGGAGACUCUUAAGGGUCCUUCCACCUUGCUCCUGGAUUCUGUGAAUCGGAAUCUCUGUGACAGAGUCGGCCUGGGCUCCCAGAACCUGCGCAGGGGGCAGCUGGGACCUUCAGAGCAAUCAAGAAGCCCAAGUAAAUGAAAGAGGCCCUGAAAAAUGCUGUCAGGGCUCCAUGUAAAUGAUGAUUUAAAAUUUCACAGGAAAGAGAAAGGACACUUCAAGCAAUUUCUUAACAGGCAAAGCCUCCCAAGGCAAUAUUACUCGCUAACAGCCCAGCAUCUGGUGAUGAUGUGAAAAUGCCUGUAUUAGAAAACUGGAAAAUGGGACCACUGGAGUUUCCAAGAAGUGGUUGCAUAAGCUCAAGGAUUUCUUCGGAGCUGUUCUGACUAAAGAUGAAAUUGGGAAGAGGCACACGAGGAAGAAAAUCACUCACUGCUUGAGGCUGCCAGAAAGAAGACUCUCAUUGUCUGAAGGAAAAAAAAACAACAUGCCAGGCUUACUGACAGAAGCUUUUACAGGAAACAAAACCCACGACAACUUCUCUCGUCAAGGGCUCUUCAGACUGUUUCUAAACACUCACAGGAAGGCCAGGCUGACAUUUUACACAUGAUUGACUGAGAGCGCUAUGCUUGCUUCUGGAUAUGUGCGUGCUUGUAUACGUGUGCAACUGUGUGUGUGCACGCAUAUGCCUGCAUGCAAGCCUACGGGUGCUUACCUGGUCCUGUAGCUCAGCCUAAACAAAGAUUCAGACUUGCUUAUGCAUAAAUAAUGAGUUGGCGGGGCCAGAAGCUGCCUAGGGUCUAUUUAUAUAGAUUGAUUUGCAUGUGCCAAGGGGAAUUGGGAAGAUACAGUGGAGAAGACAGCCUGGUGAUUGGUUCAGGGGCCAGGAUAGCAGCUGAACCCAUGCAAUCCUCCCUGAGACUUUAGUGAGUCUGCAAGGAAUGAGCCCUCUCUGUUUGCAAGACCUCCAAGGCCAGCAGGAUAAAAGCUUGGCAACCGUGAAGUGAGAGUCAUCCUUAGAAUGAAGCCAGCACAGAGGAGAGCAGAAGAAGGAUGGAGAGAGAGACUAGUCCUAAUGUCCUUGUGUGGUGGCUUGGCUAGCACCUGCUGUGCCUAUCUUCCCACUGGGAGCCUUAGUCUCAUGCCCAGUUGAUCCCUCCCCUGGUGUCAACUAAGCUUGAGUUGGAUUAUCUGCUACUUGCUGAUGCUCCACUCACAGUCUCCCUGCAUUAUCCCAGCACCUGAGACAUUUCUGAUUAGAUUGGCAUCCAUGGGGGUGUGAAAGUCACAUUCUCAGAGAAAGAAAGUGAUGAACCACCUGUACUGCAGAACCCACCAGUAACAACCCCACCCUACACCCUAGUCCAGGUUCCUCAGCUGUCUGUCAAAUCCAGGAGCCAGGACACCAGGUGGAGUCCUGCAACCUUUUGCAAUCUCUGUGUCAGAGGUAUUAGAACAAGAAUGACUCCAUCUUGAAAACAGGCUGGGUAGAAUGAGGCUUAGACUUACUGGGCUGCAUUCCCAAGAGGUUAAGGCAUUCCUAGUCACAGAAUGAGAUAGACGGUUGGCACAAGAUACAGAUCAUAAAGACCUUACUGAUAAAACAGGUUGCAGUUAAGAAGCCGGCCAAAACCCAUCAAAACCAAGAUGGUGACAAGAGUGACCUCUGGUCAUCCUCACAGCUCAUUAUAAGCUAGUUACAAUAUAUUAGCAUGCUAAAAGACACUCCCACCAGUGCUGUGACAGUUUACAGAUGCCAUGGCAACAUCAGGAAAUUACCCUAUAUGGUCUAAAAAGGCUAAGAACCCUCAGUUCUGGGAGUUGUCCACUCCUUACUGUGAAAACUCAUGAAGAAUCAACCUCUUGUUUAGCAUAUAAUCAAGAAAUAACCAUAAAAAUGGGCAACCAGAAGCUCUUGAGAAUGCUCUGCCUAGGGAGUAGCCAUUCUUUUAUUCCUUUACUGUCUUAAUAAACUUGCUUUCACUGUAUG